RNAcentral lists this ribosomal RNA (490 nucleotides) under uncultured bacterium. RNAcentral's name for it is "partial 16S ribosomal RNA". It matches the Rfam family "Bacterial small subunit ribosomal RNA", at positions 29 to 507 of the family's 1533-position model. The record is from RNAcentral.
AGUGAACGCUGGCGGUAGGCCUAACACAUGCAAGUCGAACGGCAGCACAGGAGAGCUUGCUCUCUGGGUGGCGAGUGGCGGACGGGUGAGGAAUACAUCGGAAUCUGCCCAGUCGUGGGGGAUAACGUAGGGAAACUUACGCUAAUACCGCAUACGACCUUCGGGUGAAAGAGGGGGAUCGCAAGACCUCUCGCGAUUGGAUGAGCCGAUGUCGGAUUAGCUAGUUGGCGGGGUAAUGGCCCACCAAGGCGACGAUCCGUAGCUGGUCUGAGAGGAUGAUCAGCCACACUGGAACUGAGACACGGUCCAGACUCCUACGGGAGGCAGCAGUGGGGAAUAUUGGACAAUGGGCGCAAGCCUGAUCCAGCCAUACCGCGUGGGUGAAGAAGGCCUUCGGGUUGAAAAGCCCUUUUGUUGGGAAAGAAAUCUUUCAGGCUAAUACCCUGGGAGGAUGACGGUACCCAAAGAAUAAGCACCGGCUAACUUCGUG